GCUGGGUGUGGUGGCUCACACCUGUAAUCCCAGCACUUUGGGAGGCUGAGGCGAGUGGAUCACCUGAGGUCAGGAGUUCAAAACCAGCCUGGCCAACAUGGUGAAACCUUGUUUCUA
This is an unclassified non-coding RNA of Pongo abelii (Sumatran orangutan), 117 nucleotides long. It matches the Rfam family "Metazoan signal recognition particle RNA". Rfam says of the family: The signal recognition particle (SRP) is a universally conserved ribonucleoprotein. It is involved in the co-translational targeting of proteins to membranes. Lineage: Eukaryota; Metazoa; Chordata; Mammalia; Primates; Hominidae. The record is from Ensembl.